This 440-nucleotide ribosomal RNA is filed under the name uncultured bacterium. Its description in RNAcentral is "partial 16S ribosomal RNA". It matches the Rfam family "Bacterial small subunit ribosomal RNA", at positions 338 to 795 of the family's 1533-position model. The record is from RNAcentral.
CCUACGGGAGGCAGCAGUGGGGAAUAUUGCACAAUGGGGGAAACCCUGAUGCAGCGACGCCGCGUGAGUGAAGAAGUAAUUCGUUAUGUAAAGCUCUAUCAGUAGGGAAGAAAAUGACGGUACCUGAGUAAGAAGCCCCGGCUAACUACGUGCCAGCAGCCGCGGUAAUACGUAGGGGGCAAGCGUUAUCCGGAGUUACUGGGUGUAACGGGAGCGUAGACGGCAGUGCAAGUCUGGAGGGAAAGGCGGGGGCUCAACCCCCGGAGUGCUCUGGAAACUGUACGGCUGGAGUGCAGGAGAGGUAGGUGGAAUUCCUAGUGUAGCGGUGAAAUGCGUAGAUAUUAGGAGGAACACCAGUGGCGAAGGCGGCUUACUGGACUGUAACUGACGUUGAGGCUCGAAAGCGUGGGGAGCAAACAGGAUUAGAUACCCGUGUAGUC